RNAcentral lists this ribosomal RNA (420 nucleotides) under root-associated fungal sp. OC10B. Its description in RNAcentral is "eukaryotic LSU rRNA". The stretch from base 88 to 241 matches the Rfam family "5.8S ribosomal RNA". The record is from RNAcentral. RNAcentral also lists the same sequence under 1 other name. Lineage: Eukaryota; Fungi.
GGCUUCGGCCCGCCGCCGGGGACCCAAACCUCUAUAUUAUGCCCCCGGGCUAAGUACAUGUCUCUCUGAGUAACUGAAAUAAAUCAAAACCUUUANCAACGGAUCUCUUGGCUCUGGCAUCGAUGAAGAACGCAGCGAAGUGCGAAAAGUAAUGUGAAUUGCAGAAUUCACUGAACCAUCGAAUCUUUGAACGCACAUUGCCCCCGCUGGAACUCCGGCGGGCAUGCCUGUCCGAGCGUCAUUUCAACCCUCAGGCCCCCCUUCCGGGGGCGGGCCUGGUGUUGGGGCUCGGCCGCUACCCUGCGGCCGUCCCCUAAAUUCAGUGGCGGCCCCGCUGCAAUCCCUUGCGUAGUACUGUACCUCGCACCGGAGCGCGCCGUGGCCACGCCUCUAAAACCCCAAACUUCAAUGGUUGACCUC